AACGAACGCUGGCGGCAUGCCUAACACAUGCAAGUCGAACGAGACCUUCGGGUCUAGUGGCGCACGGGUGCGUAACGCGUGGGAAUCUGCCCUCAGGUACGGAAUAACUCAGGGAAACUUGAGCUAAUACCGUAUAAUGACUUCGGUCCAAAGAUUUAUCGCCUGGGGAUGAGCCCGCGUCGGAUUAGCUAGUUGGUGAGGUAAAGGCUCACCAAGGCGACGAUCCGUAGCUGGUCUGAGAGGAUGAUCAGCCACACUGGGACUGAGACACGGCCCAGACUCCUACGGGAGGCAGCAGUGGGGAAUAUUGGACAAUGGGCGCAAGCCUGAUCCAGCAAUGCCGCGUGAGUGAUGAAGGCCUUAGGGUUGUAAAGCUCUUUUACCCGGGAAGAUAAUGACUGUACCGGGAGAAUAAGCCCCGGCUAACUCCGUGCCAGCAGCCGCGGUAAUACGGAGGGGCUAGCGUUGUUCGGAAUUACUGGGCGUAAAGCGCACGU
RNAcentral lists this ribosomal RNA (497 nucleotides) under uncultured bacterium. RNAcentral describes it as "bacterial SSU rRNA". It matches the Rfam family "Bacterial small subunit ribosomal RNA", at positions 28 to 572 of the family's 1533-position model. The record is from RNAcentral.